RNAcentral lists this small RNA (81 nucleotides) under Flavobacterium xinjiangense. RNAcentral describes it as "Flavo-1 RNA". It matches the Rfam family "Flavo-1 RNA". The record is from RNAcentral. Lineage: Bacteria; Pseudomonadati; Bacteroidota; Flavobacteriia; Flavobacteriales; Flavobacteriaceae.
UUUUAGCCCCGAUGGGAGCGGCAUCCUUUUAUUAUCGUUUUUUAACGAGAAUGAAAGAUAUAGCGUACAGCGGGAAAUAGC